This 5865-nucleotide long non-coding RNA is filed under the name Marmota monax (woodchuck). Lineage: Eukaryota; Metazoa; Chordata; Mammalia; Rodentia; Sciuridae. The record is from RNAcentral.
GCGGAGGAGGAGGAGGAGGAAGCCGGGGCUAGCAAAUGUCCGAAUGCCUCCCACACCUUUGAUGAAAUCACACCCUUAGCCGUUGGCUCCUGGAUCUGGGUGAGUGACAGCAGAAUGGCAGCCGUGGAGGUAGAAAUGGAGGCUUCCCCAGCCUCUAGGAAUUUCCAUGAAGAUACCAGAGAGAGUGAGCUGCAUGAAGGCCCCAGAAAACCACACCUAGGUCUCAGAGAGGCCAGGAGAGGGGCCCAGUGGCCGUCUGGGCAGCAUAUGGAGAGGCUCUGCAAUACGGUAGGAUGCGAAGACAGAUCAGCGACCCUUGUUAGAACAUGUACAAAAACCUUCCUCAAAAUGUUUGUGUCCAGGGACUGAACCUCACCGUGAAAGAGGCUCCCAGGGUCCACAAAGGCCAGGGGCGGCCAGCUCUGGCUUUCUGUCCAAAUAGGUGGUGUGGCGUGGUGGGGAGGGGCUUCCUGGGCCCAAAGAGCCAGCCAGCUCUGUCUUUUCUGCCAGCUGCAGCCUAAACACCUUCUGAACGUCUCUCUCCUGUUCUGCCGCAGCCUCUUCCUGGAAAUCUCUGCAGCCUUCCCUCUCAGCCAGUUCCUGGGACGAAAGCCUCUCUCUGCACGUCCUGCAGGGGUUCCUGGAAUCCUGAAGGUGCCACUGGCUGGGAGAGGCCGCAGUGCUGUGGGAUGAUUAAGGGGAGGCACCCUGGAGGGAGCCGGGGCUGGGAGACCAGGCCUGGACUAAGAUAAGCAGGGUGGACACUGCCUGAAAAUCACGUAAAGAAUGAGGUGAAGGAAAACAGAAUGAAAACUUCAGAGGCUGCCUCCAAACUCAUUAGUUAGAACGAUUUCAACAUCAUAUUUUAAAAAACGAGCAUCAGGCAAAUCAAUCCACGGACAUCUUCAAGAAGGACAGGAUCUGGGCGGGCGAGGGCCUGAGCGGCCUCCCUGGCCUCUCUUGCCUCCCGGAGGCCGGGCCUUUCUGGAUUCGCAUCUCAGCGCUCCUCCCGCGAGGUGGAGGUGACAUAGAGUAAACUGAACGUGCCUCAGGAGGGAGAUUGGUAAUGACCUGCGGCCCAGCUGUGUGACCACAUCUGCGUUGUGGCACAGGGGCCCUGCAGGAUUUCCUUUCUUGCUUAGAACUCUGUGUGGGUUCUAAGGUGAAGGCCAAACCUGUCGCGCUAGCCCCUUCCCUGGAAGCCAGAAGACACCGUCCGUCUGCCACACUGUGCUGCUGAGACCCCCGGGGCUGACCUUGGCCCUGAACUUCACAUCAUCCCAACCCCAGCCCUGACCACACCCCGAGGGGCCUUUUAAAGUGCCUUGGAGUCCCGGUGAUGUUCGAGGUCUCCUCUUUUGCAUCUGUUUUGAAGCCCUGAUCUCUGACGGCCCUUAAGACAUCGGGGGGCAGCUGUGCUUAGGGCUUAGGUUUGGAGAUACUAUGGUUCCUUCAAGGGCAAGGAGAAGAGAAUAAAAAUUCACCAGCUGUCAUAUAAGUUCACAGAUCCUUAAAGCAGGCGAAUCUUAGGAAAGCACUGGAUGCAACUCCGGGCUUUCAAAGAUGGGCAGCUUUAGAGUUGCAUCCAGUGGUUUCUAAGACCCUCCUGCUUUAAGGAUCUGUGAACUUAUAUGACAUCUGGUGUCCCUUUCCCAAGGUCACAGGAAUAAUUUUAUUUUUUGUUAAACAGCUACUAUGUGUCAUGCUUCAAAGUGUUUUAUAUUCAUCAGCUCAUUUAUUCCUCCUAUCACCCGUGAGGUGGGGACUGUUAAGAUUUCUGCUUUCUAGAGGAAGUACCUGAGGCCCAGAGAGGGAAGUGACUUGCCCAUAGUCACACAGCAACAUGUGGUAAUGUGGUAUCUGAACAAGGGUAAUCAGACUCUAGCACUUCCAGGCUAAAGUCUUCUUUGCUCAAGCCAGAUUUCUCUUUAUGACACUAAAGGCAGGGAAUGAAUAAUCUAUGAGGUGAGGAAUUUGCUUUUUGGCUCUUAGAUUUACUCCCUAUGAAAACAAGUCAGAGAGCGAAGGGCCAGGAUCCUGCUGCCCCUUCUGUUGGUUGACCAGGCGCCAGAGGGACGCCAUGGCUCAGCAGCCAGGGUGGGGCUGCCCCGGACAGAUAAAGGUCUAGUGCUGAUUCUUGGACCAGUGACUUGGCUGCACAAUGCAGGGUCAAAGGGGGUGUGAGUGCCAGUCCCACAUCACCAGGCACAGCACGGCCCCAGGAGUCCCAGCAUGGGCUGCCGUGGUGGAGACCACGUCUGUGAGUGCGAGGUGCUGGGUGAGCCCUCCGUGAGUGGGACCAGCAGGGUGGCUCGGCCUCCAAGUUACUUGGUCAUCUGUGAACUAAUGGGCGUGGCCGGAGGAUCUCCAAAGCUCCUUCCUGCCCUCGGAUUCUAUGACCCUGAGCUCUGGGCUCCAGGGUGUGGGGCAGGGAGCGGGGUGCUGGAGCAUCAGCCUCCAGAUGGCCAGCAGCUGUUUGGAAACACCCCGUGCACCUUCCUCGUCCUCUCUAUUUCUCGGCUUGGCUCAAGGGCCGAUUAUAUUACCAGUGGAGAAAUAAACCAAAAACCCAGGGAAAUGGCUGCUUCCCUGUUUUCUUCAUCGCAUUUUCCACGUACGUCAUGCACAAGGCUUUUGCAAGAGCCGGGGACCGCCAUCGGCGGGUUUUGCUCCUGCUUCCAUUAGUUCAUUGGGUGGUUAUAGAUAAUGACAUAAAACUUGUUAUUGGGCCAGCCCUGGAUGGUCUCUGGAGCAGUCAUGUGGGUCCACUCUGAAGCUCCUUCCCGUGGAGGCGUAGGACUUUAUUUCCACUCGGAAUCUCAGUUUCCUCUUCUAGGAAAUGAAGGUACUAGAAAUACUGUUUGUCCCACAGGAAGGGCUAAGAGGAGGACUGAUUGAUUUAAUAUCCUGUAAAUCCAGGCCUAGAGGAAUAACUGGAGGAUUAGCUGCUGUUUUUACGAAGCACUUCGUGUUCGUUUACGGAUCUGACGCAUCCACCGACGCCACCCGGCUGAUGGGAUCUUACGAACCUGGUUCUUGACUUCAGAAUGAGAAAUAGUGACUUGUUCCGGGUCACACAGUAAGUGGCAGGGCCCCUAGUUUCUAGGGUGGCUUUUUUGAGACCAAGGUUAGACUAUCUUCUGUUUUCCCACUGCCAGCUAACUUCUGCUUGUCCUUCAGGACCACCCAGACAUCACCCCUCCCAGGAACCAAUACUUGGUCCCCCAGGCUGGCUUCCAGGACCCUGUGCCCCCUCUGCCCACCUCUACUUCCCCACUGCGGGCAGAGAUGGUGUCUACGAGGAGCACUCACGCCGUCCUCAACUCUGUCUAUCUUUCAUUUAACAUCUUUCUGUCUCUUCCAUCCAUCCAUCCAUCCAGCCAGCCAGCCAUCCUUUUAUCUUCUUGACUUUUCGUCUUUGGAGUUUGCUACAGUCUUCGGCUUACAUUUGGGGGCUCAGUAAAUGCUGGUUGAAAUAAAUGGAUGGGAAUUCCCAGGGGCUCUGACAGAAGGAGUGUUUGUUCAUGGCUGGUGCUGGGUCAACCCACAACUCCAUAUUCUUCCCCCCAAUCAGGACCUAUCCACAGACACACAGUGGUGCCAAAUAUUUGAAAUAGGGACACCCUGGAACAUGGGUGUGAGUACUUGAGAGAUGCGUUGAAGGUCCCCAGCGUGGUCCUGGGUUUCAGGGGCGGGUGAGUUUCCUGGCGCCUGGCGGGGUGCCUUGGCAGGGUGUCCCUGGAUGCCGUUCCUCUGUGCAGUGUGCUAAGGUGGCCAGUUACAUGGUCUGCACGGGGGUGACGGCCUGUGUUCUCAUGAACCUCGCCUCCUCCCUGGGGUUUCUUCUGCUCCCCAAUGAUCAUGAGUCAGGCUCUUCUGGGCCGAGGACUGGUGUGAGCCCAUGUUGGAGAGCCCUGGAUGCUGCUCAGCGUGGCUCUCGGUGACAUGGGUCCCACCCCUCUCAUCAGAUCCCGGUCCACCUCUUCAGCCUCACACUCCUACUGUCCACGCGUCCCACAGCUUCAGAGCCAGCUGCUCCCGCAAACACGAAGGCUCCUCCUGCCUCUCCCCCCUGGGCUUGCUGACCCUCGGCCUGAGAUGCCCCCUCUCCCCCUCCCUCUGCUGGGUAGGACCCCUGUCCUCAAGCCCGUGUAGACCUCCUCCUCCAGGAAGCCUCCUGCACCCUCAGGGCGUGCCAGUGGCCUGCCUGCCCAUCCUCCCCAGAUGGGCUUUCUCCUGUGUCUCCCUCUAGACCUGGGGGCACACUCGACCCUUCGCACUGUCACCUGGAAUCUACGGCGGUAACUGACCCAGGCAGCGCUUCAGACCUGUUGGUGGACUCACGAAGCGCAUUGAUCUCAUCAGAGGGAGGACGUGGGUGCAGCCUGUGGGCCUCGGCAUCGGGGGACUCCGCUAAGGGACCCCAGGGGCCACCGCUGGAGCGGGAGGUGCUGGGCUAGACCCCGCUUCCAGCCCUGACCCCCUCGUAAGCACAUCCCUGGAUUCACUCUCCUAGAAAUCAGUCAGGAGGGGGGUCAUGGGACGGCCGGGAGGCCGGGCUGGCCCUCAGAUCUCAGCUGGAUGGCGCGCCCCCCCCCGUCUCUGCAGCAGCACAGGGACAAUCAGACUGGCGACAGAGUUAGACCGAGUCCCGUGGCAUCAUCCCAUAGGAAGAGACCUUAGGCACUGUGCACACACGCCCACCUGGUGGUGAUGACCGGCCCCGGGCAGCGCUGCCUCCUUCUGGCUUGUGACCCGACCAAUAGAGCUCACCGGCUCCAAGUGAGCGUCACUCUCCGGAGUUCAGUGGUAUUAUGGGAUGGAUCUUAAAUGUCCCCCCAAGGCUUGGUCCCCAGUCAGCAGUGUCCCGAGGUGGAGCCUUGGAGAGGAGACAGGAUCAGGAGAAUUGAACCUCAUCAAUGGAUGAAUCCACUCUGAAUUCACAGCCUCACGGGCUAUGGGAGGUGCUGGUAACUUCAGGAGGUGGUAACUUCAGGAGGUGGUCUUAGCUAGAGGAGGUAGGCGGGUCAUGGGGCACGCCCUGGAAGCUGUAUUUUGUCCAGUUCUCCCCGCCCCCUCUGCUCCCCGAUGCCAGGAGGGGAGCAGUUUUGCUCCUCCAGGUCUUUCCACCGUGGCCUGCUGCCUCAUCAGGGGCCCAGCCACGAUGAAGCCAAGUGCCCAUGGAAUGGACCUCUGCAACUAUGAGUCAGAAUAACCUUUCCUCUUUGAAAUUGUUUUAUCUCAGGUACUUUGUCACAGUGAAGGAAAGCUCACCCAGGGGCUCUGAGAAUCCUGUGCACUUCAGGAUCCCUGGGGAGCUAAAUGUCCAAAUGCAUCUUUAGGGUCUCUUCCGAGAGUUUGAUGUAGAGGGUCUGGAGGUCCGGGAAUCUGCACUUUAGUCAAGUGUCCUUCACUCAGAAGUUCUACCCUUAGGUGUCUCUCCAAGAGAAAUGAAAACAUAGUGUCCACUUAAAGACGUGUGUGUGAAGGUUCAGAAAGCUUUAUUCACAUCAGCCCAAAGGUGGACACAGCCCACGGGUCCCUGGACUAAUAAAUGGAUGGGACGCUGCUCAUCCAUACAAGGGGCUUAUUAAACCACCAAAAAGGGACGAAGUGGUGACGCAUGCUACAACAUAGAUGGCGCUCAGAAACAUGCUCAGAGAGAGACGCCAGACUCAAAAGGCCAUGUAUGAAGUGUCAGGCAAACCUAUAGAGACGCAGAGCAAAUUAGUGGUUGUUGGGGGUCGCCGGGGGCUCAGGGAUGUAUACUUUAAUAAGUGAAUUGCACAGUAUGUUCAUUAUAUCUUAAUAAAACCAUUAUUAAAAAAAUACCAAAUGAGUCGCCCCUGGGAAGGUGGGAGACCC